UACGUAGGGUGCGAGCGUUAAUCGGAAUUAUUGGGCGUAAAGGGCGUGUAGGCGGUUUGUUAAGUCAUGUGUGAAAUCCCUCGGCUCAACCGGGGAACGACGCAUGAAACUGGCAAGCUAGAGUACCAAAGAGGGGGGUGGAAUUCCCGGUGUAGCGGUGAAAUGCGCAGAUAUCAGGAGGAACACCGGUGGCGAAGGCGGGUCUCUGGGCAACAACUGACGCUGAGGAGCGAAAGCGUGGGGAGCGAACAGG
Molecule: ribosomal RNA, 253 nt
Filed under: uncultured bacterium
Lineage: Bacteria
Description: partial 16S ribosomal RNA
Rfam family: Bacterial small subunit ribosomal RNA
Source: RNAcentral